Long non-coding RNA from Zingiber officinale, 1318 nucleotides. RefSeq lists it as uncharacterized. The record is from RefSeq and is a predicted model, not a curated record. NCBI's taxonomy places the organism in Eukaryota, Viridiplantae, Streptophyta, Magnoliopsida, Zingiberales, Zingiberaceae. The transcript is spliced from 5 exons.
AAAACAAAGUUUCUCUUCCUCUUAUUUUCCCUUCCUUCCCCUUCUCUCACCUCCUCCCAAACAGACCAUUCGACUAACCCCUCUCCGAUGAAUCCCUCUCUUCCAAACACCUUCAAACAAUGAGAUUUUUUUAGGACUAGUCGCACCUUGCCUUGAAAGCCUUCACUGUCGCCCGAAGCGAGCAGUGGUACCACGUCGAUCUCAACCUCUACGCGUCUCCACCUUGUCCAGGUGUGGAUCACCACAUGAGAUCGAUACCCUAGUUGCCGAUCUAAUGGAGGAGGAGGGAUGGCUCUCCGCGGAGAUCGCCAAGAGGGUUCCCUAGCUCGUUAGGGCUCUGAUGGUCGAUCAGCGGCGAGGAGGAGAGCCAAUAGGCGAGCCGAUCGGCGGCGUAGAAGGUCAAGAUUGGAUUUUACUUCACCAUGUGGUGGGCGUUGAACGUGGUGUUCAACAUCUACAAUAAGAUGGUUCUCAACGCCUUCCCCUACCCUUGGUUGACCUCCACACUCUCCCUCGCUGCCGGCUAGCUCCCUCAUGUUUUAGGUCAAGUUAGAUUUAACCUCUUCAAAGCACACAACAUUGAAACAACAAAAAAGAUUCGUGCCAAUGCAAAUGUCCGUUACGCAUGGCUUGCUUCCUCUAAGGAUGCGGUGGACGAGAUGAUGUUUCAUGGGGUUCUGAAGCAACCUGUGCAGAAACGACUUUAUGGAAAUGGGCUUCAUCUUGCCCUUGCAAAUUGCUCUGAUAUCUGAAUAUAUAGUGACAUUUAAAAUGACCGACAAACUUAAAGCAUUUUUGAAUUGGAAAGGAAGUGAAUCUCAUGCUUUCCAGAAUUCUAGUUCAUCCGACUGCUUAUUACAGCUGUGAAUUCCACACAAGACAACACAAAAUCUUUGUAGGGAAGAAAUGUGAAGUGCAAUGAAUAGUCAGUUGAAGAUAUUUUGAAGGUGAAUGGAGGUAUUCAGAAACUCCAGUUAAAUAGCUUGGGUAUGAAUGAUUACAGGAGCAACAAUUAUAUGCUAUAUGACACUACAUCUGAACCCCAAGUGUGUGACUGGGAAGUACUUUGGCGAAUAACUAUCAAGAAGACUUUGGUAUUUAAGCGAGAAAAUGGUUAAAGCCAAUGAGUAAAGAACAUUCAAGUCAAAAGGAUAAGUAGCAUCUAUCAAGAUCCUUUAAGUUCAUACAAUAAGAUGUAGUCGAGAAGAGUAGUUUUGAGUUCUUCUAAUUAAAAUUUCUUUAUAUGCGAGAAAUUAUGUUUAUUAUAGAAGUGUAAGGAUAAUAAUUUAUAUAUUUAUUUUGGUUGUUUAUCUAAUAA